GCACUUUUGUAGCACAAUAAUAUAAUGAAUAUUUUGUGCUUCUGCAUCCCAACAGCAAGGCUCUACUAUUUUGACAAAAGUCAAAAGUGUUUCAUGUGUGUUGAAAAAUGUGUUUCUAUUAUUAACUAAAAUGAGAAGUUGUCAUGUUGCUAAGUGUGGACGUAAGAUCAGUGAUGGUGUCAAAUUGUUUCCUUUGCCACAAAACAGUGUUCGUCGUCAGCUUUGGCUUGACAAGAUUAAACGUAGGGAAGCUAAUCGUCACACCAAAAUCAAAAAUAUCUGGAUAUGCUCAAAGCAUUUCUAUGGAGGGAAACCUGCAAAAGAAAUCUACCCGAGGCAUCCAGAUUUUGUGCCAUCAUUGUUGUUAGGGAUGAGCCACUAAAAUUAAUAGAGUCAACUCACCUUUCUGUAAUUCAGGAUCAUUCUUUGCCGAUUGAUGAGCUUGAUCAACACAACAUUCCAAGUAAUUGCGAUGUAAAGGCAUUAAUUUGAUAGAUAAAAAUUUUUUGUUAUUGAUAUUACUGGCUGCGAAGAAAGAUCUGCCCAAGUACACUUAUCCUCGUAUUACCCUACAGCACAGGUACAAUGAGCGUAUAUUACACAACCAUCAACACCAAUUGCAGCCCAUGGUGAGUGAGGAGUAUCGCUGAUAGUUUGAGAUGGAGUUACCUAAUUGUGAAUUAUAACAGAAAAUAUAAUUCAUUUAAAUAAGAAACAACUUUAAGGGCUUACCUUAGCUUGAACUAAAACCACUCCUGAUGACAAACACAUUGCCAUAAAUUGUUUCAGCCACCCAUCGUUCACUGCUUGUUUUGACUCAGCUUUAAGACCUUUGUAGGCUCUCUUUGUUUUCUCAACAUCUAAAUUACUUCUGGAGAAAACUAAGUAGGCAAAUAUAUCCCCAUGAUCUAUUUUGGGAA
Daphnia magna is the source of this 920-nucleotide long non-coding RNA. RefSeq lists it as uncharacterized. Lineage: Eukaryota; Metazoa; Arthropoda; Branchiopoda; Diplostraca; Daphniidae. The transcript is spliced from 4 exons. The record is from RefSeq and is a predicted model, not a curated record.